GUGAAUCAUCGAAUCUUUGAACGCAAAUUGCACCCCCUGGUAUUCCGGAGAGCAUGCCUGUUUGAGGGUCAGUUUAAAUAAAAAUCGGUGUGGUUGCUGCCUUUUGUGGUGACGCACUGGAUUUGGGUCGUCUUGCAUUCGGUUAAGUGACCUAAAAUUUUGCAUGAUUUUUUCGAACCCACUCAAAUGAUUUUA
Molecule: unclassified non-coding RNA, 195 nt
Filed under: Glomus sp.
Lineage: Eukaryota; Fungi; Glomeromycota; Glomeromycetes; Glomerales; Glomeraceae
Description: partial contains 5.8S ribosomal RNA and internal transcribed spacer 2
Rfam family: 5.8S ribosomal RNA (bases 1-71)
Source: RNAcentral